RNAcentral lists this ribosomal RNA (505 nucleotides) under uncultured bacterium. RNAcentral describes it as "partial 16S ribosomal RNA". It matches the Rfam family "Bacterial small subunit ribosomal RNA", at positions 28 to 507 of the family's 1533-position model. The record is from RNAcentral.
GACGAACGCUGGCGGCGUGCCUAAUACAUGCAAGUAGAACGCACAGUUUAUACCGUAGCUUGCUACACCAUAGACUGUGAGUUGCGAACGGGUGAGUAACGCGUAGGUAACCUGCCUGGUAGCGGGGGAUAACUAUUGGAAACGAUAGCUAAUAACGCAUAAUAUUAAUUAUUGCAUGAUAAUUAAUUGAAAGGUGCAAUUGCACCACUACCAGACGGACCUGCGUUGUAUUAGCUAGUAGGUGAGGUAACGGCUCACCUAGGCGACGAUACAUAGCCGACCUGAGAGGGUGAUCGGCCACACUGGGACUGAGACACGGCCCAGACUCCUACGGGAGGCAGCAGUAGGGAAUCUUCGGCAAUGGACGAAAGUCUGACCGAGCAACGCCGCGUGAGUGAAGAAGGUUUUCGGAUCGUAAAGCUCUGUUGUAAGAGAAGAACGGGUGUGAGAGUGGAAAGUUCACACUGUGACGGUAUCUUACCAGAAAGGGACGGCUAACUACGUG